This 533-nucleotide ribosomal RNA is filed under the name uncultured bacterium. RNAcentral describes it as "bacterial SSU rRNA". It matches the Rfam family "Bacterial small subunit ribosomal RNA", at positions 367 to 918 of the family's 1533-position model. The record is from RNAcentral.
GACAAUGGGCGCAAGCCUGAUCUAGCCAUGCCGCGUGAGUGAUGAAGGCCUUAGGGUCGUAAAGCUCUUUCGCCUGUGAAGAUAAUGACUGUAGCAGGUAAAGAAACCCCGGCUAACUCCGUGCCAGCAGCCGCGGUAAUACGGAGGGGGUUAGCGUUGUUCGGAAUUACUGGGCGUAAAGCGCGCGUAGGCGGACAUUUAAGUCAGAGGUGAAAUCCCAGGGCUCAACCCUGGAACUGCCUUUGAUACUGGGUGUCUUGAGUUCGAGAGAGGUGAGUGGAAUUCCGAGUGUAGAGGUGAAAUUCGUAGAUAUCCGGAGGAACACCAGUGGCGAAGGCGGCUCACUGGCUCGAUACUGACGCUGAGGUGCGAAAGUGUGGGGAGCAAACAGGAUUAGAUACCCUGGUAGUCCACACCGUAAACGAUGAAUGCCAGUCGUCGGGCAGUAUACUGUUCGGUGACACACCUAACGGAUUAAGCAUUCCGCCUGGGGAGUACGGUCGCAAGAUUAAAACUCAAAGGAAUUGACGGGG